This 46-nucleotide non-coding RNA is filed under the name Schistosoma bovis. The record is from RNAcentral. RNAcentral also lists the same sequence under 3 other names. Lineage: Eukaryota; Metazoa; Platyhelminthes; Trematoda; Strigeidida; Schistosomatidae.
GCACUGCUGAGGAGUCCCACAAUAGGAUGAAACGGUCGUCUAGUGA